GAUGAAGAACGCAGUGAAAUGCGAUAAGUAGUGUGAAUUGCAGAAUUCAGUGAAUCAUCGAAUCUUUGAACGCACAUUGCGCCCCUUGGUAUUCCAUGGAGCAUGCCUGUUCGAGCGUCAUUUGUACCUUCAAGCUUUGCUUGGUGUUGGGUGUUUGUCCUGAGGGACUCGCCUUAAAGUAAUUGGCAGCCAGUGUUUGGUUUUGAAGCGCAGCACAAGUCGCGAUUCAAGGCUAUACACCAGCUUCCACAAGCCUUUUUCACUUUUGACCUCGGAUCAGGUAGGGAUACCCGCUGAACUUAAGCAUAUCAAUAAGCGGAGGA
Molecule: unclassified non-coding RNA, 323 nt
Filed under: soil metagenome
Description: partial contains 5.8S ribosomal RNA, internal transcribed spacer 2, and large subunit ribosomal RNA
Rfam family: 5.8S ribosomal RNA (bases 1-120)
Source: RNAcentral